ACGGAUAUCUCGGCUCUUGCAUCGAUGAAGAACGUAGCGAAAUGCGAUACUUGGUGUGAAUUGCAGAAUCCCGCGAACCAUCGAGUCUUUGAACGCAAGUUGCGCCCAAGGCCUUUUGGCCGAGGGCACGCCUGCCUGGGCGUCACGCAAAACACGCUCCCACC
This 164-nucleotide ribosomal RNA is filed under the name Festuca muralis. RNAcentral's name for it is "5.8S ribosomal RNA". The stretch from base 1 to 145 matches the Rfam family "5.8S ribosomal RNA". Rfam says of the family: 5.8S ribosomal RNA (5.8S rRNA) is a component of the large subunit of the eukaryotic ribosome. It is transcribed by RNA polymerase I as part of the 45S precursor that also contains 18S and 28S rRNA. Lineage: Eukaryota; Viridiplantae; Streptophyta; Magnoliopsida; Poales; Poaceae. The record is from RNAcentral.